UUUCUCUUUUUGAUGAGGACAUUUUGUUUGAAAUCCCUGUGGCACCAUGACUGGGAAAGCUGUACCACGUGUGAAUCUUUUUUCACCUUUUCCCUUCAAAGGAAAAGAAGGCAAAAGAGAGGAGGUGCUACCGGCCUUUGAUAAGAUUGUCAGGUGGACUACCUGUAACCUUGUCCUCCAAUUCCUUACCGGUCGGUUCCCUGGGGCUAUUUUCAAAUACUGAUUCAUAGGGAUCUAGAGUCAAAAUGUAUCUAUCUGCUCUUCCUCUCUCUUGAACUCUGGAACAACUACGUAUAAUACAUUGCUAAUUAUUACCUUUCCGGGAUAACAUAUUUUUGUAAGCUACUUAUAGCUUUUUAAGAAGUCACCAAUGACCUACUAGCAGAAACUUGAGAUUCAUUCAGAGGGAGGCAUUUUUCGUAAGAAUAACUUUUAGUGGUCUGCUCUUGAAAAAGGCUGGUCUCUUGGAGAGAAUUGCCAUUUUUGAACCUAGAGGCCUAUUCUGCUGCCCCCAUUGCUUACAUUUGCAUAUAUCACGGAACUUAUUUCUGGGUUUCAUGAAACUGCUGCCUACACAGCCAAUCUGCCACUUCUCCUGACAGAGGCCUCUGUGCACAAGUGUGUACAACACACACACACACACACACACACACACACAGAGGGCAGGGCUGGCCGUGCUUUCCCACAAAUCCAGAUUCCAAAGAAGAAUACUGAGAUGCUCCAGGGUCCCCUUAGAAGAAGGGUGACUAAAAAGCAACAAGACUCUAGUGAGCAGAAGUCUCUGAGCUGGUGCUGAUCUCAGGGAAGGCGAAUGUGGAUGCAAGAAGUUGGGAGAGAGCUUUUCAAGAAAUGAGGAAAGACUUCCAGGCAGCAAAGCUUUCUAAUCCCACCUGACGCUCCCCAAGUUAUCCGGAGCAGCUUCAUGGAGAAGAACGCACUGUUCGCAGCAGCCAAGAUUUGGAAGCAACCUAAGUGUGCAUCAACAGAUGAAUGGAUAAAGAAAAUGUGGUACAUAUACACAAUGGAAUACUAUUCAGCCAUAGAAAAGAAUGAGGUCCUGUCCUUUGCAACAACGUGAGUAUAACUGGAGGUCAUCAUAGUUAAGUGAAGUAAGCCAGGCACAGAAAGAUAAACAUCAAAUUUCUCACUUAUUUAUGAAACCUAAAAAUUAAAAUAAUAGAACUCAUGGAGAUAGAUAGUAGAAGGAUGGUUACCAGAGACUGGGAAGGGUAGUAGGAUACUAGGGGGAGGUAAGGAUGGUUAAUGGUACAAAAACAAGCAGGAAAAAAAAUGAAAAGAUCUAGUGUUUGAUAGCACAACAGGGUGACUGCAGUCAAAAUAAUUUAAAUGUACAUUUUUAAAUAAUUAAAAGAAUAUACUUUGAAGUAUUAGAUUCUAGAUAAGGCCUGGGGACAUGUGGGUUAGCCAUGCCCCUAGCUAUGUUGGAAAGAGUCAGACCUUAUCUGCACUUUUGUCUGAUGUGCUGGGUUCCACACAAUCCGUUACUAACCAGGUUUUUCACCAAAAGUAAAAGCUGCUAAGAGUUAACAUGGUAACAUAUAUCCAAGACUACUAAAGAAACUGUUCUACAUGCAAGGCAUGCAAGGAAAGCAGAAUAUACUUUUAGUAAAAGAUUAUAAGAAGGCAAAGGAAUGUGGAUUGCUUGCUUAAGUUUAGAGGGCUAAAAGAUUGUUUUAAGUGAGGUAGAAAAUAUCUAAAUGUUUGAACAAGUUGUGGAAGGUUUAUAAAAAAUUAAUUGUAAAAGACAUUCUGUGUGUGAACGUAUUUGCUAAACUUAAAGGGGUAUUCAGUUUUUCUGUAAAUUGAAUAUUAAAAUUAAGGUUUUUCUUAGAGCACUGAUCGGCUCUAAUGAAAAUUGUAACGGGUUACGAAAGGUUUAUGAGAAUCUUAUGGUUAAACUGAUUAAGAUUGGAUAGAUUUGUCUAUAAGGUUUUUUUUUGUUGUUUUUUGUUUUUUUUGAGACAGAGUUUUGCUCUUGUUACCCAGGCUGGAGUGCAAUGGCGCAAUCUCGGCUCACUGCAACCUCCACCUCCUGGGUUCAGGCAAUUCUCCUGCCUCAGCCUCCUGAGUAGCUGGGAUUACAGGCACGCGCCACCGUGCCCAGCUAAUUUUUUUGUAUUUUUAGUAGAGACGGGGUUUCACCAUGUUGACCAGGAUGGUCUCGAUCUCUCGUGAUCCACCCGCCUCGGCCUCCCAAAGUGCUGGGAUUAUAGGCUUGAGUGUCUAUAAGGUUUUAUUAAGAAUUGGGGUUGAUGUUAAUAGUACACUAAUGCAAAGCGUGAAAUUUGGCUUAUUUAUUAUAAAGAUCACACAGAAAGUAUUGUCAAAUAUGAAAUGGUGUUUGGCUUUCUUUGAGCUGUAUUUGUAUAAAUAUGUUACUGGUAUAUGUUCAAAAAUAGUGGGAAAGUCCUAUAAUUCUGAUGAUUUAGUGCAUGUGAUCAUUAAUAAUUGUUACACAAAAUCAUUGUAUGUCACAAAGGUAAAAAAGAAGAGAAAAAGAAAACAGUGUAGCAUUGCCUGGUAAAUAGAGCACAUGUCUACCCUCGGGUCUGCAAUUUCACUUCUCGAAAAUCCUGCACAUAUGCGCUGGAAGACAUUUUCAUGGGAGUAUUGACCAUGCCGGCAAAAAUGAAUAGAUAUAUGUGUGUGUGUGUGUGUGUGUGUGUGUGUGUGUGUGUGUGUGUGUGUGUAUGCUACCAGAGGUAAUCCAGAUGUCUAAUGUAACACAACAGAUAGACACAUUUUGAGAUUGUCACAAAAUGAACUAUACACUGAAGAAGUUGAAUGAACUAUAGCUUUACACAAUAACAUGCACGAUCUGAAACCAUAAGGGAGAGUGCAAAAGGCAAAUUCAUGGAGGAGUCAAUUCAGUGGGAUUGCAUUUUUGUAAAUUCAAAAAACUAACACUAAACAAUACAUUGAAGAAGAAUACCUGUGUAGGUGGUAAAAUGAAAAAGAGAAGCAAGUUAAUGAAUAAAACUCUCUUGUUAUACUGAGAUUGUCAGGUUGGAUGUUUUAAAAAUCCAGUUAUAUGGUAUUUACAAGAGCCACAUAUAAAACAGGAAGGCAUUAAAAAAAAGCUGAAAAUAAAGGGAUGAAUACAGACACAGACAAAUAGUAGACAUUGUCCAAUUCACAUUCUCUGCUUAGCUUGGUACUAAAUAUCCAAUUCAUUUCAUUUUCUCUACCUUAAAAAUGUAGAUAAUGUUCUCAUUGUUAUGGAUAAGGAGACCUAGAUUAAAGCGAUUAAGUAACCUACCCAUAGUUUCCAAACUGGUCCCUAAUAGAAGUGCUAUUCACACCUAAUUCUCUUUCCACAGUACCAAGUUGCUCCUCCUCAGACACAGCUGACCCUAUCUCAGCAUUCUUGGAAGGUUGAGGGAGAGUAACAGAGGGACAAAAUUUUAUCUGAAAAUGUUGGGCUGUAUGGUUGUCACACCUAUUGACACAAGUAGGGAUGGACGUAAAAGCACAAAUAAUUAAAAAGGCCUUUUUGACAGGAAAGGGUGGCUCCUACAGCCAAGGUGAGUCUGUGGCCCAAAAAGACAGCAGUAGGAGAACAAAGUAUUGGUGCACAGGGGGCAGACAUAGAAAUGGGACUCCAGCUUCUUUUCCUACAGCAGCAGUGCUCUAAGUUUUUGAUAUUAGAAGUCUUUUACACUCUUAAAGAUUACUUAGACCCUAAAACACAUUUGUUUACAUGUAUGUCAAAUAGUGUAGUCCAAUAAAGUAUAUACUAGUAUAUUCUACGCUAUGUUAGAAAUUACAGCUGAUACUUUUAAAACAUGAGAAUACACAACACACAUUCCAUUAACCUUCAGCUAAGAUGCUGAGAGUGUAAUAUCUCAUUUUUUUGAGAAAUUUUGGUAAGAGAUGUAAGAACAUUAAAAUUAAUGCCUUUUUCCGUGAAUCCAUCCAAGAGUCUAGCAUAAGGAAUAAUGAAACAGUUCCUGUGGGUGUGUGUGUGUGUGUGUGAAAGAGAGAGAGAAGACAAUUCUCAAAGGAAGCAACAAAUAUGACAACAGUAAGUGAUAGAUUGAAUGUACCUGGUAAUAUAGAGUAAAAUGCUUAUGUUGCAUUCUGGUUCCACCACUUAGGAAAAUUAACAUCGAUGUCCUCAUCUGUAAAAUGGGAAUAAUUACAAUACCUGCUUCAUUCAUAUGGGUGAUGUGCAUAUACAAUGAGAUUAUCCAUACCAAAUACUUAGCACAGUUCCUGGCAUGUAAUAAGUGCCCAAUAAAUGUUAAAUAUUUUUACUACCAUUGCAUGUUAAAUAGCAUUCAGUUAUGCAAGCAAUUAGAAUGUUACAGAAUUAAAAUUAUUUACAUGAAAACACAUUCACAGUUAUUAAGUAAAAUGUUAACAAGACAGCAUAUACGACCUUUUAUUUUUGUAAAGAACAAAAUUUAUCAAAAAUUCUGCAAAAAUAUACAUAUGUUUUCUAACAGUGAGGAUUACAGGUUACUUGUAUCUUUUUUCUUUUUUGUAUAUUUUUCUUCUCUGGAGGUAACUUGUGUAAUAAAGUGUUUUUCUUAGGAA
Callithrix jacchus (white-tufted-ear marmoset) is the source of this 4560-nucleotide long non-coding RNA. RefSeq lists it as uncharacterized. NCBI's taxonomy places the organism in Eukaryota, Metazoa, Chordata, Mammalia, Primates, Cebidae. The record is from RefSeq and is a predicted model, not a curated record.